GACGAACGCUGGCGGCGUGCCUAAUACAUGCAAGUUGAGCGCUGAGGGUUGGUACUUGUACCUCCUGUAUUAGCAGCGAACGGGUGAGUAACGCGUGGGUAACCUGCCUUUAAGCGGGGGACAACUUUUGGAAACGAAUGCUAAUACCGCAUAAAAUCUUUAACCACAAGUUUUAAGUUUGAAAGAUGCACUUGCUUCCCUCAAAAAUGAUCCCGCGUUGUAUUCACCAGUUGGGGAAGUAAAGGCUUACCAAGGCGAUGAUACAAAGCCGACCUGGGCGGGGGAUCGGCCAAAAUGGGACUGAGAAAAGGCCCAAAACCCUACGGGAGGCAGCAGGAGGGAAUCUUCGGCAAUGGAGGGAAGGCUGAACGAGCAAAGCCGGGGGAGGGAAGAAGGUUCUCGGAUCGGAAAAACCUGUUGGUAGAGAAGAAAGUUGGUGGGAGGGGAAAGCGCAUCAAGUGACGGUAACUACCCAGAAAGGGACGGCUAACUACGUG
This 497-nucleotide ribosomal RNA is filed under the name uncultured bacterium. RNAcentral's name for it is "partial 16S ribosomal RNA". It matches the Rfam family "Bacterial small subunit ribosomal RNA", at positions 28 to 507 of the family's 1533-position model. The record is from RNAcentral.